Molecule: ribosomal RNA, 245 nt
Filed under: uncultured bacterium
Lineage: Bacteria
Description: partial 16S ribosomal RNA
Rfam family: Bacterial small subunit ribosomal RNA
Source: RNAcentral
UACGGGGGUGGCAAGCGUUACUCGGAUUUAUUGGGUGUAAAGGACAGGUAGGCGUUCCAACAAGUUAGAAGUGAAAUCCUAAGGCUUAACCUUAGAACUGCUUCUAAAACUGCUGGAAUUGAGGCUGGAAGAGGAGAGCGGAAUUCCCGGUGUAAGGGUGAAAUCUGUGGAUAUCGGGAGGAACACCAGUGGCGAAAGCGGCUCUCUGGUCUAGCUCUGACGCUAAUCUGUGAAAGCUCGGGGAG